UUGAGCAUCAAACUUUUAAAUUGAAGAGUUUGAUCAUGGCUCAGAUUGAACGCUGGCGGCAGGCCUAACACAUGCAAGUCGAACGGUAACAGAAAGCAGCUUGCUGCUUUGCUGACGAGUGGCGGACGGGUGAGUAAU
This 138-nucleotide ribosomal RNA is filed under the name Escherichia coli. RNAcentral describes it as "partial 16S ribosomal RNA". The stretch from base 18 to 138 matches the Rfam family "Bacterial small subunit ribosomal RNA", at positions 1 to 114 of the family's 1533-position model. The record is from RNAcentral. Lineage: Bacteria; Pseudomonadati; Pseudomonadota; Gammaproteobacteria; Enterobacterales; Enterobacteriaceae.